AUCACUUCUCAGCAUUUUGGUUAAGAUCAAGUGUAGUAUCUGUUCUUAUCAGUUUAAAACUUAUUUCAGAAAAGACAAAAGCCUUUCUUGAAAUUUAUUCUCU
Pongo abelii (Sumatran orangutan) is the source of this 103-nucleotide small nuclear RNA. Its record names the gene U2. It matches the Rfam family "U2 spliceosomal RNA". From Rfam's summary of the family: U2 is a small nuclear RNA (snRNA) component of the spliceosome (involved in pre-mRNA splicing). Complementary binding between U2 snRNA (in an area lying towards the 5' end but 3' to hairpin I) and the branchpoint sequence (BPS) of the intron results the bulging out of an unpaired adenosine, on the BPS, which initiates a nucleophilic attack at the intronic 5' splice site, thus starting the first of two transesterification reactions that mediate splicing. Lineage: Eukaryota; Metazoa; Chordata; Mammalia; Primates; Hominidae. The record is from Ensembl.